CAAGGAAUCAAAUUGGAGUGCCCUAAUGUAUGUCAAUGGUUAUAUUGAAAGCACUGUAUUGUGUUAUUGAAGGAGACACGUAGUACUGUAUGUGUGUGUAUAGGAUCAGUUGAGACGUCUAGCAGAGAUAGAGCUAAUGAAGAAAAAAGUUAAAGAACUUGAAACAGCUAAAGAUGAUGUAGCUGGCGCUUUGGAACAAGGAACAGAAAUUGAUGGUCAUGCAGCUUCGCAUUCAUUUAGAGGACCAGCUGAAACUUCUGAUGUUCCAUUGAGAAGUGGAAAAGACUUUACGCCAUCAUCAUGGAAACCAAACGAUUGAAUUAUAUCAACAUGCUAUGUUGUAACAUUGAUUGAUUGAUUAUUAGUCAAAAUCACUAUAAUAUAUGACAUUCUGUCCUUGUUUUGUGUAAUAGAAAUGACAAUGUAAAUGGA
Long non-coding RNA from Amphimedon queenslandica, 432 nucleotides. RefSeq lists it as uncharacterized. The transcript is spliced from 4 exons. NCBI's taxonomy places the organism in Eukaryota, Metazoa, Porifera, Demospongiae, Haplosclerida, Niphatidae. The record is from RefSeq and is a predicted model, not a curated record.